RNAcentral lists this ribosomal RNA (305 nucleotides) under uncultured bacterium. Its description in RNAcentral is "bacterial SSU rRNA". It matches the Rfam family "Bacterial small subunit ribosomal RNA", at positions 337 to 658 of the family's 1533-position model. The record is from RNAcentral.
UCCUACGGGGGGCAACAGUGGGGAAUAUUGCACAAUGGGCGAAAGCCUGAUGCAGCAACGCCGCGUGAAGGAAGAAGGCCUUCGGGUCGUAAACUUCUGUCCUUGGGGAAGAAGAACUGACGGUACCCAAGGAGGAAGCCCCGGCUAACUACGUGCCAGCAGCCGCGGUAAUACGUAGGGAGCGAGCGUUGUCCGGAAUUACUGGGUGUAAAGGGAGCGUAGGCGGGGAUGCAAGUUGGGUGUCAAAACUACCGGCUCAACUGGUAGUCGCACUCAAAAAUGCAGGUCUUGAGUGAAGUAGAGGG